AAACGCCAAAUACCGCCUUCUCUUCUCCAUUCUCCAUCAUUCCAACACACCAAACCACAUCUCUCACUGCUUCCACCAAAUCAGAUGGCUCGUUCCCUCUUUCUCUCUCUAAACAAAUCCAUCUCCAUCGUCCAUCUCCACCCCCGCCACAAGCAUCACCUCCUUCCCCUCAGCCCAUCGUCCCGCCUCGUAUCUCUCCGCACUCAAUCCAACCAACCCGACCUCUCUGACCUUUCCACUUCUUCCGACUCCACCACAGACCCUUUGCUCUCCAAGCUCGAGGACGCCAUCCACCUCAUCAUUGUGCGCCGCUCCGCACCCGAUUGGCUCCCCUUUUUGCCCGGAUAUUCGUACUGGGUCCCUCCCAAAUCCCAAUUCCACGGUGUGGCUCAAUUGGUUGAGAAAUUGGCCAACCCGUUGACGCCCGAACAAGCUAUGUUCACUAACAGUGUUCGAGGCUGGCCCUCGUCGGAUUAUUUUGUUAAAGGUGCAUCUUUACAUCCAGUGGAAGAAGACACGAAUUCCACUAAUGUAUCUCAAUCUGAAGAUGAAGAGGGGUGAAUAACUCGUUUUAGCAUAUCUGGCAUCUGGGUGAGGAAGAUUAUGAUUUUGCACCCAUCAGAACUGUAAAUUUAUGUAGAACCGAGAAUGGAAAGCAUAAAAAAACCUGCAUCGACAGACUUCCGAGCAGCAAUCCUGCAACUUGGGUCGGGAUGAUAACUUAUUUCCCAAUGUUCACUGCUUGAAAUGACCUUAUAUCACUCCUUAUGUAGUUUGCCAUUGCAUUGUAUGUCAUAAUUGUAGUAUUUAUAGAUUUUAGAUAUCCCAGUUGAGCUGCUGGGUUAUCUUUCAUCUGAUGAUAUAUAGUUAUUUGACAUUUCUCAA
Molecule: RNA transcript, 885 nt
Organism: Pistacia vera
Lineage: Eukaryota; Viridiplantae; Streptophyta; Magnoliopsida; Sapindales; Anacardiaceae
Exons: 3
Source: RefSeq, a predicted model, not a curated record